This 497-nucleotide ribosomal RNA is filed under the name uncultured bacterium. RNAcentral's name for it is "partial 16S ribosomal RNA". It matches the Rfam family "Bacterial small subunit ribosomal RNA", at positions 28 to 507 of the family's 1533-position model. The record is from RNAcentral.
GACGAACGCUGGCGGCGUGCCUAAUACAUGCAAGUUGAGCGCUGAAGGUUGGUACUUGUACCAACUGGAUGAGCAGCGAACGGGUGAGUAACGCGUGGGGAAUCUGCCUUUGAGCGGGGGACAACAUUUGGAAACGAAUGCUAAUACCGCAUAAAAACUUUAAACACAAGUUUUAAGUUUGAAAGAUGCAAUUGCAUCACUCAAAGAUGAUCCCGCGUUGUAUUAGCUAGUUGGUGAGGUAAAGGCUCACCAAGGCGAUGAUACAUAGCCGACCUGGGAGGGUGAUCGGCCACAUUGGGACUGAGACACGGCCCAAACUCCUACGGGAGGCAGCAGUAGGGAAUCUUCGGCAAUGGACGAAAGUCUGACCGAGCAACGCCGCGGGAGUGAAGAAGGUUGUCGGAUCGUAAAACUCUGUUGGUAGAGAAGAACGUUGGUGAGAGUGGAAAGCUCAUCAAGUGACGGUAACUACCCAGAAAGGGACGGCUAACUACGUG